Molecule: ribosomal RNA, 314 nt
Filed under: uncultured bacterium
Lineage: Bacteria
Description: partial 16S ribosomal RNA
Rfam family: Bacterial small subunit ribosomal RNA
Source: RNAcentral
GUAUAAGAGACAGCAGCCGCCACGGUAAUACAGAGGAUGCAAGCGUUAUCCGGAAUGAUUGGGCGUAAAGGGCUCGCAGGCGGUUUCUUAAGUCUGAUGUGAAAGCCCCCGGCUCAACCGGGGAGGGUCAUUGGAAACUGGGAAACUUGAGUGCAAGAGGGGAGAGUGGAAUUCCAUGUGUAGCGGUGAAAUGCGUAGAUAUAUGGAGGAACACCGGUGGCGAAAGCGGCUCUCUGGCUUGUAACUGACGCUGAGGCUCGAAAGCGUGGGGAGCAAACAGGAUUAGAUACCCGUGUAGUCCCUGUCUCUUAUAC